CCACCAAUCUCCUGUUUUUGUUAGCGCUGAAAUGUGUCUCAGUGAGCACAAAGUUAGUGUGAUGUUAUAGUGCGGUGUGGAUGUGAGGGCGUGAGGUGGGCGUGUGUCAGCCAAAGGAAGGGCAGCACAUUCGAAGACAGCCGAGGUGAUCCCACACCAGCUGAACAAAUCCUCGGCCUUUUGUCUUAUGGCGGCGGGCGAGUGUGGUUCCUUGUGUGUGCGUGCGUGCGUGGCGUCUUGGUUAGUGUAGUGAUAGUGUGUUGAUCCUAUUGAAUGCGUCUUCCUCGCGUUGGAUUUGGUGAGUACCCGUAUCACAGGUCACACCGUGGGACUGACACCGCUGGAGCAACCCUUCGGAAUAAAGUCAAGUACAAAUUACGGUUUGCUAGGCGUUAGGUGUUAGGCAUAGGGCGAUAGGCGGCGCGGCUAACCAUUCUCUUCCAGGUACAAAGUAACCUUCUCUUCCAGGUACAUGUUAAUUAUCUAGUCUUCCCCAGUAAUGCCCUGGUUAGCGCACCGUGGCGGCGAUCCAGGAGCCUCCUGCUGGUGGCGGUGGUGGUGGCGUGGCGGGCGUGCACGUGCUAUCAUAUGGGUUGCGUGGUAGGUGCGUUCACUGGUCUGGGCUGUGUUGGUGCGUGUUCUGAAGAGAUGACCGCAGACACGCUGGCUGCUGAUGACUAGACCCGCACAGAGGCAGUGUACUGUACAAGCUGGAUGGAAGUAUGCAAACCUCGCAAUGAAGAUGGAAAAGGUCCGCAGAAAACGACACGC
Molecule: long non-coding RNA, 771 nt
Filed under: Portunus trituberculatus (swimming crab)
Lineage: Eukaryota; Metazoa; Arthropoda; Malacostraca; Decapoda; Portunidae
Description: uncharacterized LOC123504709, transcript variant X2
Source: RNAcentral